RNAcentral lists this ribosomal RNA (447 nucleotides) under uncultured bacterium. Its description in RNAcentral is "bacterial SSU rRNA". It matches the Rfam family "Bacterial small subunit ribosomal RNA", at positions 355 to 825 of the family's 1533-position model. The record is from RNAcentral.
UGGGGAAUUUUGGACAAUGGGCGCAAGCCUGAUCCAGCCAUGCCGCGUGAGUGACGAAGGUCUUCGGAUUGUAAAGCUCUUUUGGCGGGGACGAUAAUGACGGUACCCGCAGAAUAAGCCCCGGCUAACUUCGUGCCAGCAGCCGCGGUAAUACGAAGGGGGCUAGCGUUGUUCGGAAUUACUGGGCGUAAAGCGCACGUAGGCGGACUGAUAAGUCAGGGGUGAAAUCCCGGGGCUCAACCUCGGAACUGCCUUUGAUACUGUUAGUCUCGAGUCCGGAAGAGGUGAGUGGAAUUCCUAGUGUAGAGGUGAAAUUCGUAGAUAUUAGGAAGAACACCAGUGGCGAAGGCGGCUCACUGGUCCGGUACUGACGCUGAGGUGCGAAAGCGUGGGGAGCAAACAGGAUUAGAUACCCACGUAGUCCCUGAGCGGGCUGGCAAGGCGCAU